RNAcentral lists this ribosomal RNA (478 nucleotides) under uncultured bacterium. RNAcentral describes it as "partial 16S ribosomal RNA". It matches the Rfam family "Bacterial small subunit ribosomal RNA", at positions 28 to 507 of the family's 1533-position model. The record is from RNAcentral.
GAUGAACGCUGGCGGCGUGCCUAACACAUGCAAGUCGAACGGAGUCCAGCCUUUAAGACCUUCGGGUCAAAGAGGGGAAGACUGAGUGGCGGACGGGUGAGUAACACGUGGGCAACCUGGCUCAUAGAGGGGGAUAACAGAGAGAAAUUUCUGCUAAUACCGCAUAAGCACACACUGCCGCAUGGCAGAGGGUGAAAAGAGAAUCGCUAUGAGAUGGACCCGCGUCUGAUUAGCCAGUUGGCAGGGUAAGAGCCUACCAAAGCGACGAUCAGUAGCCGAUCUGGGAGGAUGAACGGCCACAUUGGGACUGAGACACGGCCCAAACUCCUACGGGAGGCAGCAGUGGGGGAUAUUGCACAAUGGGGGGAACCCUGAUGCAGCGACGCCGCGUGAGUGAAGAAGUAUUUCGGUAUGUAAAGCUCUAUCAGCAGGGAAGAUAAUGACAGUACCUGAAUAAGAAGCCCCGGCUAACUACGUG